Manis javanica (Malayan pangolin) is the source of this 712-nucleotide non-coding RNA. The record is from RefSeq and is a predicted model, not a curated record. Lineage: Eukaryota; Metazoa; Chordata; Mammalia; Pholidota; Manidae.
ACACACACACAAGCACUUUGUUGUUGAACUACACAGUGUAAUACCUAGAAAGUUUAACAUGACAGUAUCAUUGCUAAGGUCUUUUUUUUCCAAGGAAUUCCAGCUAAUAGUUCUCCAGGUGUCCCAUUUUCUUUCAUAAUGACAGACUUCUUUUUUUACCUGUUGAAAACGUAAGGCCUGGAAAUGCUAAAUGACUCGUGGGUCACCUAGUUUACAGAAGAGCCAGAAUUUGGCUGCAGGUCUCCUGAACCACAUGGAGCAGACCAGCUCUGGGAUUUGUUAGUGUCUCUGAGACGCUCCUGCAUGUUGAUAAGCUCGCCGGGUGACUGGGACACACACUCAAGUUAGAGAACCACUGCUUUACAUGGUGUCUCUUUUACUAAAUAGCCACAGGGCUAUUACUCCUGAAAAAAUUAAUGAUUUUGUAGUAUCAUCAGAUAUUCCAGUUAACACUCGCAUUUCCUUAUUUUUUUGUUUUUGUUUUUUAGUUUCUUUGAAUCAAAAUUCAAAUAAGAUCUCUACAUUCCAUUGGAAGGAGUCAUUUCUCUUGUUUACCAUUCUAUCACCAGCAUCUAUUCCAGUGCCUGGCAUGCAGUAGGUGCUCAGUUAUACUCACUGGCUGGAUCAAUGGAUGCACCCUCCCAGGCAAGGAACUCAUUGUGCUGGAAAAGCAACACUGAGAUGAAGCUGGACAGGCACAGAGUUCCUAAAC